CCGCGGUAUUUUGACCGUGCAAAGGUAGCGCAAUCACUUGUCUUUUAAAUGAAGACCUGUAUGAAUGGCAUCACGAGGGCUUAGCUGUCUCCUUUUUCAAGUCAAUGAAAUUGAUCUCCCCGUGCAGAAGCGGGGAUAAUAAUAUAAGACGAGAAGACCCUAUGGAGCUUUAGACCUAAUGCAGUCCACGAAUAAUACUUUUGAUGAAGAAAGAAAAGCUCAAUGGCUCCUGCACGCCUGUCUUUGGUUGGGGCGACCGCGGGGAAAAAUAAAACCCCCAUGAGGAUUGAGAGUUCUACUCCUAAAACCAAGAGCCACAGCUCUAAGUAACAGAAAUUCUGACCUAAAUGAUCCGGGAAACCGAUCAACGAACCGAGUUACCCUAGGGAUAACAGCGCAAUCCCCUUCCAGAGCCCAUAUCGACAAGGGGGUUUACGACCUCGAUGUUGGAUCAGGACAUCCUAAUGGUGCAGCCGCUAUUAAGGGUUCGUUUGUUCAACGAUUAAAGUCCUACGUGAUCUGAGUUCAAACCGG
This 534-nucleotide ribosomal RNA is filed under the name Zeus environmental sample. RNAcentral's name for it is "partial 16S ribosomal RNA". It matches the Rfam family "Bacterial large subunit ribosomal RNA", at positions 1931 to 2619 of the family's 2925-position model. The record is from RNAcentral. Lineage: Eukaryota; Metazoa; Chordata; Actinopteri; Zeiformes; Zeidae.